UGAUGUGGUGAACGAGAACCCGGAGUGGGUGU
Molecule: non-coding RNA, 32 nt
Filed under: Homo sapiens (human)
Lineage: Eukaryota; Metazoa; Chordata; Mammalia; Primates; Hominidae
Source: RNAcentral